GCCGCCCUGCCAAACCCUNNNNNNNNNNNNNNNNNNAGUUUAAGCUUGAGGGCUUAAGACCCAACUUGCCCUAAGAAUAGUCCUGCAGUCACCAUGAAGGGCUGGGAGGGCAGUGGAGAGAGGAGACCCAGAUGGGAAGCGGAACUUGAGGGCUGACUCAGUGCAGUGGGAGAAGGAGGGAGAGAGGGGGGCUGUUUAGGGAGCAGAGAGGACCAGAUGCAUGUGGGUUUGGGGAAAGAGGAGCAGGUAGCUUAAGGAAGAGGACGAGUCAGUUUGGGACAGGCUGAGUUGGAAGAGCCACUGAGAGAUCAGAGAGUGGAGUCUCGGAGCAGCCGAUGGAGGGGUCUGGAGCCCAGUGGAGGGGACUGCAUCCAGAAGCCUCGAGUGGCAGGAGGCAUUUAAGCCAUGGAAAUCCACCAGCUAGAUGGGCACCUCCAAGUUUUUAUCCUUAGGAAUAUCUAUAGUUCCCUCCUCUUUGCCUCCCUCCCAAGGCCUUUGAGAGAUGGGGAGAAAAGAAAACAGUCUUGAGAGGGAAGACAAAGGAUCAGGGUGGGGUGGGGCUCCUGGGGUAACACUGAGAAGUCCCUGAACCGGUCCCACUCACCCCAGGGUGUCUGCCAUAGCGCCCUGAGUAGAUGGACAUCUUGAUAUUGGUGUCUAUGGAUCCCUGCAUGCAGAUAUGUAAAGUGAUGUGUUUUCAUUUUCUCAUGAUUCCUGUUUCCCUGUAGCCCUCCCUGAUGAAGCUUAUUGCCCAGUGGAGGGGGCUUCGAAACAAGGCUUCAAGCAAGGUUGACGCAGACAGGCUGCAGAGAAGCUGCUGCUAACGGCAAUGGGACCAGGAAAGGGGAAUCCAAAGAAAGCAGCACCAUCCCUCAACCUCAGAGGCUUGUGUGGGAGAAACCCGUUAGGUCUGAGGGAAAAUCCUGCUUCGAGGGUAGUAGGAAUGAUCAGAUCAAGAUGAAAAGAGUAUGAGAAAAAUGAAGAAUGAUUCUGGUUUGACCCAUCUGGGUAGGUACGUGUGACUCAGCUCUGCAGUAAUCAUGUCUGUACACGUGUGCUGGGGCAGCUGUGGACUUUCAGUUCUAGUCAUCAGCCCUUUCCUUGAAGCUCACUGUGUGUUACCUUGUGGCCAGGAGUUGAGAAUCAUAAAAUUGUCAAAUCUCUAUUAAUUAUCUAUCACUCUAUAAUAAAUUAGUCCAAAAUUUAGCUGAGAUUCA
Molecule: long non-coding RNA, 1217 nt
Filed under: Bos mutus (wild yak)
Lineage: Eukaryota; Metazoa; Chordata; Mammalia; Artiodactyla; Bovidae
Description: lncRNA (ENSBMUG00000025073.1)
Source: RNAcentral